AUCUUUUAAAAUUUAUCCUUAAAAUUUGUCUGCAUGGAAAUUAAAUAUACAUUUGAAUGAGCAUUCCUAUCCAAGUGAAGAUCUAUGGGAUUUACAUGGAAGUCAACAGCAAUGCAAGGGUUUUGCUUUUCAGCUUGCUGAUGCUAUCUCCUAUUAAAUGAGUUCACCCCACAUGGCAAAUGGGCACUGGAAGGUUUGAGUGGAUCUGAUGGAUGACUCAGCUGAGGUCUUGGUGUCUGCAACUGGUCUAGAUUAUGAAGGCCUGGGCAGGCCAUCCUUUUGUGUGGAAGAGUUGGAGAUGGCGGCAGCGUGCUCCAGGAGCAAAAAAGGAGUGAGACCCCUUUAAGGAAAAGGUGGAAGAGACAGGAUCAGAAAAAGGAAAGGAGGUGAGGUUGUCCUGCAGGAAUACAGGUUAAUUUGAGGGCUAAUCCACAUGGGGCUCUGUUUCCCUAGAGACUAAAAUUGACAUUCUGAAACUUGAACUGGCCAUGAAC
This is a long non-coding RNA of Crotalus tigris (Tiger rattlesnake), 494 nucleotides long. RefSeq lists it as uncharacterized. The transcript is spliced from 3 exons. NCBI's taxonomy places the organism in Eukaryota, Metazoa, Chordata, Lepidosauria, Squamata, Viperidae. The record is from RefSeq and is a predicted model, not a curated record.